GACGAACGCUGGCGGCGUGCCUAAUACAUGCAAGUCGAACGCACUGACGGAGAACUUGUUCUCUUGACGUGAGUGGCGCACGGGUGAGUAACACGUGGGAAACCUACCCUUCAGCGGGGGAUAACCAUCGGAAACGAUGACUAAUACCGCAUAGACGACAGAACCGCCUGGUUCAAUCGGGAAAGACGGCUUCGGCUGUCACUGAAGGAUGGUCCCGCGCUGCAUUAGCUAGUGGUAGUAACGCUUACAAGCGAUGAUGCAUAGCCGACCUGAGAGGGUGAUCGGCCACAUUGGGACUGAGACACGGCCCAAAUCCUACGGGAGGCAGCAGUAGGGAAUCUCCGAAUGGACGCAAGUCUGACGGAGC
Molecule: ribosomal RNA, 367 nt
Filed under: uncultured bacterium
Lineage: Bacteria
Description: bacterial SSU rRNA
Rfam family: Bacterial small subunit ribosomal RNA
Source: RNAcentral